This is a small nuclear RNA of Dipodomys spectabilis (banner-tailed kangaroo rat), 150 nucleotides long. RefSeq annotates it as U12 minor spliceosomal RNA. The record is from RefSeq and is a predicted model, not a curated record. The transcript has a single exon. NCBI's taxonomy places the organism in Eukaryota, Metazoa, Chordata, Mammalia, Rodentia, Heteromyidae.
AUGCCUUAAACUUAUCAGUAAGGAACACAAUGAUUUGGGGUGAUGCCCAGAUCCUCACUGCUAAUGUGAGACAAAUUUUUGAGCUGGUAAUGGUUGCCCUUAAGGUGACCCACCUACUUUGCAGGAUGCCUGGGUGCUGCAAUCUGAAAA